UGCAAAGUAAACAAAUUAAAGAAACACUAAUUUAUACCCAAGAAGAAAAUAAUCAGGGUCAGAAUGGUAUUUUUGUUGCAUCAAUAUUUAUUCAGGACACCUUCCCAGAAAGAAAUGCUGAAGACUUCAAAGGUAAAGGACAAAACUUGUCAGAUGAUUAAAAUAAUAUAUAAUGAAGAACAGUUGAAAUGCCAUAAGCAGUUACCUGGAGUGGCAAAGAAAGGAGGGACACAAUUUGGAAGACUUGAAGAAGCUACUCUUUGAAAUAUGAAACCAGAUUAGUGAUUACCAUGGACCUUGAUGUUGACCACUGUGCUAAGUUCGUUACACACAUUAUUGCAUUGAAUUCUUAAUAAUCCCUCCAGAGUAAAUAUCUUCAUCUUCAUAUUACAGGCUGAGGAAUCUGGGACUCAGAGAGGUGAAGUGACUUCCCAAGAUCACAAAUAUCUGCAAAAGUCAACAUUAUGAAUAACUGAAAAGAAGAUGACAUAAGAAAUACAAUAAAGUCAGCAAACUGGUUUAUGAGGUCUGGAACCCUAUGUAAGCCAUGGUUGACCACAAGUAACUGAAACCACAGAAAUUACAAUUGUGGAUAAGGUGGGACUACUGUGUAACUUGGCAAAUGCUUCCUUUGCACUCAAUAACAAUGUGUAUUCUGCAAUAUGGUUAUAAUAGUCUAUAAAUGUCAAUCAUCUAUAUUCUUACUGAUUUUUCUUCUCCUAUUUGUGUUACUAAUUAAUGAGAAAGAGAUAUUUAAAUUUCCAACAAAAUUGUGGAUUCAUCUAUUCUUUUCCCUUUAGUUAUAACCAUUUCUGCUUUAUGUAUUUUGAAGCCUUUUUAUAAGAGUUACUUAGGAUUGUUAUUUCUUCUUGAUGAACAUUAUUAAAUGUUCUUAUUUUUACUGUUCAUGAUAACUUUUUGAAGUCAACUUUCAUAUUAACAUAGCCACACAGUCUUCCUUAUGCUUUUUGUUUUCCAGAUGUAUCAAUUUCCCGUGUUUCUUUCUACUUCUUGGUGUCCGUAAAUUUAAAGUAUAUUUCUUAUAAACAGUAUGUAGUUAAGUUCCAACAAUCUCUGCUUUUUUAAUGGAUCCUUUUGUGUGGUUACAUUUAAUCUAUUUGUUAGUGGUGUUACUUUAAGUCUACUAUCUUGCUCUAUUUGUUUUCCAUUUGCUCCUAAUGUUCCUGGCUUCUUUGUUUCUUGUUUCCUGUCUUCUUUUUGGUAAAUGAAAUCAAUGUUAGUAUUCCAUUCCAAAUCCUCUGUUGACUUUUAGCUAUACCUUGUAUCAUGCUUGUUCUGAAUAUUAAAAGUACAGCCCUAACUUAUCAGAAUCUACCUUUAAUUUUUUUUUAAAGGACUUCAAAUGUAACAACCCUGCAAGAGUUUUAUUUUAUUCACCCAUUUAUCCUCAUUCUUUAUCAUAUAUAUGUUGUUAACACAUAUUUUAUUAACAUAUACUAAACCACAAAAUGCAUUGUUAAUAUUUUUACUUAAGUUGUGAGUUGACCUUUAAAUGUUUCUUAAUAGAGAGAAAAACAUUUACUUUUAUUUAUGUUCAUGGAUACCUUUUAUACCAUUACCAGUUCUCUCGAUUUUUGUCUAUAUAUUUUAAUUUCUAUCUGGUACAUUUUCUUUCAGUUUGAAGAACUUCUUUUUGCAUUUCUUUUGUGGCAUGUAAAGGAAAGAGAUUUGAUUAGCUUUUAUGUAUACAGUUUUUCUUUUAUAAUUUUAAACAUUAUUUCAUCAUAUUUGGCAUUCAAUUUUUCAAAUGAGAAAUCAGUUCUCAUAUGUAUUGUUGCUGUUCUUUAUAUAAUGUAUUAUUUUCCUUGAUGAUUAAAUAUUUUCUUUUUAUCCUUGGUUUUAAAUAGUUUGGUAAUGUACCUAGAUUUUUAAAAUAUUAAUUUAUAUUUUAUGUUGUUUUGCAUUUGUUGAACUUUCUUGAUCAGUGGUUACUCUAACUAGCCCUAGAGAUUCAUAAAACAUUGGUAUGAGGCAGAUACUGUGCUUUUAAUGUCUUGAAUUCAACUCUCUUAAGAACUUGAUUGUGUAGCACAUUUAGGCAUUAAUGGUAUAUGUUCUUAGGCCUAGAGAAUAUAACUCACAUUUUGUUCCAUGAAAGUUCAGUAAAUUACUAAAAUGAAGUUGGAAAAAACAAGGCAAGUCAAUGUAGAAAUGAACCAUUAAAAUAAUAGUAGAGAAAGUAUUUUUGAUAGUAGAAAAGCAAAGGAAAAAUAAACAAUUUGAUUUCAAAUAAAGUAAGUAGAAAAAAUAUGAUUUUAAAUUACAUUUUGACAUAAACCUUAGAAGUUUUUAUGCAGUAGAUAAUUUUUGUGAUACAGGAAAGGAAGCUCAUGACAAGGCAGUCAGUUAUUCUAGUGAAAAAACACUUACAAAGUAACAGCAAAAAAACGAUACUACAUUUUUGUUUAUCUCACAUUGUGUAAUGGAUACUUAGUGAAACAUAAAACCCACUGGUCCAUAUAGUUAAAGAGAUUAAUAGUUAAAGAAUGAGGAUACACUGAAAAUUGAAGUGUGAGGAUGGGCAGAGAAGAAUUUUUUGAGUAAUGGAGCAGCUCUCAGUGGAGAGGGGAUACCAUACGGUGGUUCCACAUUCCUGCUGUUGGGUGGGUUCUCUCUCCCUGUGGCUGGGUCUGUGGCAUUUUAUGGACUCAGAAUGGGAAGUGCAUGCUGAUGGGUUUGUGAGUAUGCAGAAAGGUUAAUGAGAAGACAUCACUCAAAGGGGGGUACAACAGUAUAUAAAACCCAUUAGGAAAAGGUAGGUAUAUGUCAAAUCUGUCAAGGGUAGGGAUCAAUUAGAGGAAAGUGCGCCAAACAGGGAGACGGGUUCUCAACCCUGUCCAUGGAUUUGACUUGUAGCUUGGCUUUCAGGCUUUAAACUGUCUUUGGCUUGGGGUGGGGUUUCACCCCUAUCUGCCUAGGCAUUUUCCUGCCUCCUGCGCCAUCACCACCUUGGGCACAUGUUCUCAGGAGCUGUGUGUGUGUGUGUGUGUGUGUGUGUGUGUGUGUGUGUGUGUAUUUACUGUUUAGAUUAUGAAUCUCCCUCAAGAACAACUCUUCUUUGACAUCUUCAAUUUGUCAUUCUCCUUUGACCUGUCGACCCAACAUGUCACAUCCUCAAGAAGAUUUAGGUACACUGACAUGAAAUGAGACUUUUUCCUCAUUUUCAACUAGACAACUUUAUUUCUGGAUCCAACCUCUCAUCUUUUUUCUAUAGCUUUAGGGAGAAGAAACUUCCCUCUGGUGAUUCAUUUAUAUUUGUUUUCUAUUUCUUACUGAUUUUUUUGGAUCUGACUACCAUACAUAAUUCAAUUUCUGUAUUAGGCCAUUUUCAUACUGCUAUGAAGAAAUGCCCGAGACUGGGUAAUUUAUAAAGGAAAAGAGAUUUAAUGAACUCACAGUUC
This 3422-nucleotide long non-coding RNA is filed under the name Homo sapiens (human). RNAcentral's name for it is "HSALNT0192838". Lineage: Eukaryota; Metazoa; Chordata; Mammalia; Primates; Hominidae. The record is from RNAcentral.